Molecule: ribosomal RNA, 253 nt
Filed under: uncultured bacterium
Lineage: Bacteria
Description: partial 16S ribosomal RNA
Rfam family: Bacterial small subunit ribosomal RNA
Source: RNAcentral
UACGGAGGGUGCAAGCGUUAUCCGGAUUCAUUUGGCUUAAAGGGUGCGUCGGCGGGUUGCUAAGUGUUCUGUGAAAUCCCCCGGCUCAACCGGGGAAUCGCAGGGCAUACUGGCAGCCUUGAGGCAUGUAGGGGCGGACGGAACUGUAGGUGGAGCGGUGAAAUGCGUAGAUAUCUACAGGAACGCCGAUGGUGAAGACGGUCCGCUGGGCAUGUCCUGACGCUGAGGCACGAAAGCGUGGGGAGCAAACAGG